GCAGUCGACGAAGCAUUUAAGACAGAUUACUUCGGUUUGAAGUCUUUUAUGACUGAGUGGCGGACGGGUGAGUAACGCGUGGGUAACCUGCCUCAUACAGGGGGAUAGCAGCUGGAAACGGCUGGUAAUACCGCAUAAGCGCACGGUAUCGCAUGAUACAGUGUGAAAAACUCCGGCGGUAUGAGAUGGACCCGCGUCUGAUUAGCUGGUUGGUGAGGUAACGGCCCACCAAGGCGACGAUCAGUAGCCGACCUGAGAGGGUGACCGGCCACAUUGGGACUGAGACACGGCCCAGACUCCUACGGGAGGCAGCAGUGGGGAAUAUUGCACAAUGGAGGAAACUCUGAUGCAGCGACGCCGCGUGAGUGAAGAAGUAGUUCGCUAUGUAAAGCUCUAUCAGCAGGGAAGAUAGUGACGGUACCUGACUAAGAAGCUCCGGCUAAAUACGUGCCAGCAGCCGCGGUAAUACGUAUGGAGCAAGCGUUAUCCGGAUUUACUGGGUGUA
RNAcentral lists this ribosomal RNA (505 nucleotides) under uncultured bacterium. RNAcentral's name for it is "bacterial SSU rRNA". It matches the Rfam family "Bacterial small subunit ribosomal RNA", at positions 42 to 562 of the family's 1533-position model. The record is from RNAcentral.